GGGGAUGUUUAUGGAUUCGACAGGUAUAGGUCGAGUUUCAACUGCGCUUCGAAGGUUGCGUCUUCGUAAAAACGCUCAGUUUAAAUUAUAACUGCAAAAAAUAAUAACAACUCUUACGCUUUAGCUGCCUAAAUAGUAGCGGGUGUAGAUCCAGCCGGGCUUGUUCACGGCUCGUUACUGGGUCCUAAAUUUAGUGAACUUACGCUGUGAGCUUCAGUCAGGAGCAAUCAGAAGAGACUAAUCGGACUAGCGAAUCUUGAAAGCCCUGAUCAGCGGCGUUUUGAUUGGCGAAACUUAAAUAGUUGAGAUAUGAGCGUAGAGGUUGGAAUGGCGAUAUGCUUGGACGCGGGUUCAAAUCCCGCCAUCUCCAUUU
This 373-nucleotide transfer-messenger RNA is filed under the name Lactobacillus sp. It matches the Rfam family "transfer-messenger RNA". From Rfam's summary of the family: Bacterial tmRNA, also known as 10Sa RNA or SsrA, is named for its dual tRNA and mRNA-like properties. Its role is to liberate the mRNA from a stalled ribosome. RNAcentral also lists the same sequence under 2 other names. Lineage: Bacteria; Bacillati; Bacillota; Bacilli; Lactobacillales; Lactobacillaceae. The record is from RNAcentral.